GGUCCUAUAGCUCAGUUGGUCAGAGCACCUGACUCAUAAUCAGGGAGUCCUUGGUUCAAGCCCAAGUGGGACCACAA
RNAcentral lists this transfer RNA (77 nucleotides) under Bacteroidales bacterium. Its description in RNAcentral is "tRNA-Met". It matches the Rfam family "tRNA". Rfam says of the family: Transfer RNA (tRNA) molecules are approximately 80 nucleotides in length. RNAcentral also lists the same sequence under 1 other name. Lineage: Bacteria; Pseudomonadati; Bacteroidota; Bacteroidia; Bacteroidales. The record is from RNAcentral.